GAUGAACGCUGGCGGCGUGCCUAAUACAUGCAAGUCGAGCGAACAGACGAGGAGCUUGCUCCUCUGACGUUAGCGGCGGACGGGUGAGUAACACGUGGAUAACCUACCUAUAAGACUGGGAUAACUUCGGGAAACCGGAGCUAAUACCGGAUAAUAUAUUGAACCGCAUGGUUCAAUAGUGAAAGACGGUUUUGCUGUCACUUAUAGAUGGAUCCGCGCCGCAUUAGCUAGUUGGUAAGGUAACGGCUUACCAAGGCAACGAUGCGUAGCCGACCUGAGAGGGUGAUCGGCCACACUGGAACUGAGACACGGUCCAGACUCCUACGGGAGGCAGCAGUAGGGAAUCUUCCGCAAAGGGCAAAAGCCUGACGGAGCAACGCCGCGUGAGUGAUGAAGGUCUUCGGAUCGUAAAACUCUGUUAUUAGGGAAGAACAAAUGUGUAAGUAACUAUGCACGUCUUGACGGUACCUAAUCAGAAAGCCACGGCUAACUACGUG
This 497-nucleotide ribosomal RNA is filed under the name uncultured bacterium. RNAcentral's name for it is "partial 16S ribosomal RNA". It matches the Rfam family "Bacterial small subunit ribosomal RNA", at positions 28 to 507 of the family's 1533-position model. The record is from RNAcentral.